Molecule: long non-coding RNA, 348 nt
Filed under: Cottoperca gobio
Lineage: Eukaryota; Metazoa; Chordata; Actinopteri; Perciformes; Bovichtidae
Description: lncRNA (ENSCGOG00000009861.1)
Source: RNAcentral
CGGAGUGACGCGCCUUGUCGCCGCUCCUCCCCGAGCAGAGAAAGUUCCCCUUUUUGACUUUUAAUUCCCCUGAAGUAGCGGUAGUUUGACGCAGAGUCUUUUCAAACGAGACAGAAAGUUUUUACAUGAAAACACUCUGGUGACUUUUCUACAACUGGUAGAAAAGUCACGGCCAAGAAGCGUGCGGCAUCAUGAAGCUACUGCUGCGCUCCUGCAGCGUCUCUCUAUGGACUCUUCUUUUCUUCAGCGCUCUCCUCAAGGUCUCCGGAGCAGAAUGUAAUAGAGAAUGUGACAGCAAUGAAACAACAACAACAACAACAACAACAACAACAACAACAACAACAGCAC